Molecule: long non-coding RNA, 297 nt
Filed under: Capsicum annuum
Lineage: Eukaryota; Viridiplantae; Streptophyta; Magnoliopsida; Solanales; Solanaceae
Description: long non-coding RNA (CANN_LNC015871)
Source: RNAcentral
AUCAAAAAUAAAAAUAGUAUUUUCUAAUCUAGGAAGAAAAUAUAAGAAAAUAGGUGAACAUUUAUAUCUAAUGUUAGAAAAAGAAGAAUUAAAAUUAGAAGAUAAAUUAACAGCAAUGGUAAGAAUAGAAAAAGAAAAAGAAGAGAUAGAUAGGAAAAAAGAAAUAGAAAAAAUAAAACAACAAACUACGGAAGAAAUACGAAAAAUAGAAGAAACCAAAAAUAGUAGAAUUGCUGAAUUAGAAAAAGAAUUACAAAUGUUAAAAGAACUGUAUGAACAAAGACAAAAAGAAAAAGA